This 149-nucleotide ribosomal RNA is filed under the name Escherichia coli. RNAcentral describes it as "partial 16S ribosomal RNA". It matches the Rfam family "Bacterial small subunit ribosomal RNA", at positions 1 to 141 of the family's 1533-position model. Lineage: Bacteria; Pseudomonadati; Pseudomonadota; Gammaproteobacteria; Enterobacterales; Enterobacteriaceae. The record is from RNAcentral.
UUAAAUUGAAGAGUUUGAUCAUGGCUCAGAUUGAACGCUGGCGGCAGGCCUAACACAUGCAAGUCGAACGGUAACAGGAAACAGCUUGCUGUUUCGCUGACGAGUGGCGGACGGGUGAGUAAUGUCUGGGAAACUGCCUGAUGGAGGGG